RNAcentral lists this ribosomal RNA (446 nucleotides) under uncultured bacterium. RNAcentral describes it as "partial 16S ribosomal RNA". It matches the Rfam family "Bacterial small subunit ribosomal RNA", at positions 28 to 507 of the family's 1533-position model. The record is from RNAcentral.
GAUGAACGCUGGCGGCAUGCUUAACACAGGCAAGCCGGACGGGAAACACGGGAGACGUUGUUUGCAGUGGCGGACGGGUGAGUAACGCGUAAGAACCUGCCCCUGGGAGGGGAACAACAGCUGGAAACGGCCGCCAAUAUCCCGUGGGCCGGGGAGCGAAAGGGGGAACCCGUCUGAGGAGGGCCCCGCGUCUGAUUAGCUAGUUGGCGAGGCAAUAGCUUACCAAGGCGAUGAUCAGUAGCUGGUCCGAGAGGAUGUUCAGCCACACUGGGACUGAGACACGGCCCAGACUCCUGCGGGAGGCAGCAGUGGGGAAUUUUCCGCACUGGGCGACAGCCUGACGGAGCAAUGCCGCGGGGGGGUAGAAGGCCCACGGGUCGUGAACUUCUUUGCCCGGAGAAGAAGCAAUGACGGUACCUGGGGAAUGAGCAUCGGCUAACUCUGUG